AAUUUUGGCAAUCAUUUUGACUAACUGCUAAGAUUUAAUUAUUCAUGAAAAAUUUUCUUCGGGUGAAACUGUUAAUACUUUAAUUAUCUACAUCUGCCACAGUAUUUUCUAUCCAAUAUACAAGGAACAUUAGCUACAAAUUGGUCAUUGUACUUUCAAAUUAUAUACAUUUUACAGACUUAAGAGGUAUUGGGUGAAAGUAACGUAUAUUAUGUAUAUUCAUCAUUUAACACCAUUUGAAUGCAUUUAAAUAAGUUGGUACGAGUUAGCAAUGGUACGAGUUUGCAUUGGUACAAGUUUUUUUUUGUGGUACGAGUUUACAAUGGUACAGGAUAACUAUAAUUCGAUAAAACACAAUAAGUACAUGGCUCAUACACUUGUAACGGGGAUUGGCUAUUCUUUAAGUUGAGUGACUAUUCAGAUUGUUACAUUUUGCAUGUGCAGUUGAAUUAGUUUAGAGAUUAAUACUAUCCAGCUGUACCAGGGUUACUGGCCAAAAAUGCUUGAGACUCCCGCA
This 517-nucleotide long non-coding RNA is filed under the name Mytilus galloprovincialis (Mediterranean mussel). Lineage: Eukaryota; Metazoa; Mollusca; Bivalvia; Mytilida; Mytilidae. The record is from RNAcentral.